This 1446-nucleotide ribosomal RNA is filed under the name uncultured organism. Its description in RNAcentral is "SSU rRNA". It matches the Rfam family "Bacterial small subunit ribosomal RNA". The record is from RNAcentral.
UGGCGGCAUGCCUUACACAUGCAAGUCGAACGGCAGCACGGGUGCUUGCACCUGGUGGCGAGUGGCGAACGGGUGAGUAAUACAUCGGAACAUGUCCUGUAGUGGGGGAUAGCCCGGCGAAAGCCGGAUUAAUACCGCAUACGAUCUACGGAUGAAAGCGGGGGACCUUCGGGCCUCGCGCUAUAGGGUUGGCCGAUGGCUGAUUAGCUAGUUGGUGGGGUAAAGGCCUACCAAGGCGACGAUCAGUAGCUGGUCUGAGAGGACGACCAGCCACACUGGGACUGAGACACGGCCCAGACUCCUACGGGAGGCAGCAGUGGGGAAUUUUGGACAAUGGGCGAAAGCCUGAUCCAGCAAUGCCGCGUGUGUGAAGAAGGCCUUCGGGUUGUAAAGCACUUUUGUCCGGAAAGAAAUCCUUGGCUCUAAUACAGUCGGGGGAUGACGGUACCGGAAGAAUAAGCACCGGCUAACUACGUGCCAGCAGCCGCGGUAAUACGUAGGGUGCGAGCGUUAAUCGGAAUUACUGGGCGUAAAGCGUGCGCAGGCGGUUUGCUAAGACCGAUGUGAAAUCCCCGGGCUCAACCUGGGAACUGCAUUGGUGACUGGCAGGCUAGAGUAUGGCAGAGGGGGGUAGAAUUCCACGUGUAGCAGUGAAAUGCGUAGAGAUGUGGAGGAAUACCGAUGGCGAAGGCAGCCCCCUGGGCCAAUACUGACGCUCAUGCACGAAAGCGUGGGGAGCAAACAGGAUUAGAUACCCUGGUAGUCCACGCCCUAAACGAUGUCAACUAGUUGUUGGGGAUUCAUUUCCUUAGUAACGUAGCUAACGCGUGAAGUUGACCGCCUGGGGAGUACGGUCGCAAGAUUAAAACUCAAAGGAAUUGACGGGGACCCGCACAAGCGGUGGAUGAUGUGGAUUAAUUCGAUGCAACGCGAAAAACCUUACCUACCCUUGACAUGGUCGGAAUCCCGCUGAGAGGUGGGAGUGCUCGAAAGAGAACCGGCGCACAGGUGCUGCAUGGCUGUCGUCAGCUCGUGUCGUGAGAUGUUGGGUUAAGUCCCGCAACGAGCGCAACCCUUGUCCUUAGUUGCUACGCAAGAGCACUCUAAGGAGACUGCCGGUGACAAACCGGAGGAAGGUGGGGAUGACGUCAAGUCCUCAUGGCCCUUAUGGGUAGGGCUUCACACGUCAUACAAUGGUCGGAACAGAGGGUUGCCAACCCGCGAGGGGGAGCUAAUCCCAGAAAACCGAUCGUAGUCCGGAUUGCACUCUGCAACUCGAGUGCAUGAAGCUGGAAUCGCUAGUAAUCGCGGAUCAGCAUGCCGCGGUGAAUACGUUCCCUGGUCUUGUACACACCGCCCGUCACACCAUGGGAGUGGGUUUUACCAGAAGUGGCUAGUCUAACCGCAAGGAGGACGGUCACCACGGUAGGAUUCAUGACUGGGGUG